UGUCUGCGUUUUACUCCAUUUCCUAUGCGUUUAAUGCACGGUGCUGUGUUUUUAUAGACAUCAGAGGAUUCGUUCCCUUCAACACACCCAUCAAGGAAUUAAUCCCAGCCCAAAUAAAUUACCCUUUCUAUCUAAAAUUCUUUUUCGAUUUGAAUUCCCCCAAAUUAGAAUUCCCGUUAGAAAAAGUAUCACUCCCAUUAACCGCCUCACUUUCUAGUCUCGAUUUCUCCGGCUGCGACGACGCCUCCGAUUCCGGCUGCUCAUCGUGGCUCCAGGCGCCGCCGACGUCGAAGCAAUCUCCGUGUUUAUUUAAAUCGACGAGGCGGGAUACACGUCACCGUCGACCUCCUCACGGACUCACCGUCUGAUUUCGGUGCCGCCGAUUCUCUCUGAACGGCUCUCCAGAAUCCACCAAGCAGUCGUUGCAGCGGUGGACUGCCGUGGACUUCUCGGCCUAACUAAGUUGUUUCCAUUAACUUUCCAGUUUAUAAAUUUUAUCUUCCUGUUUGGCUAGAUAUGUUAGGGAGUUAGAUCUGGGUCAUGAUAUAUGGGUUCCCAUCUUGAUUUGUGAAGCUAUUAAACUUAUUGUGAUGUCCAAACAUUCUUGGGUUGAAAGAGCAGGUCAUCGCUUGUUUAUUUGUAGAUUGGUGUUAUUCCUUUGAGCAUUUAUCUUAGAAUUUGGUCUCAGCCAUUUUGCAAGCUAGACCCACUGACUGACUCUAUUUCUCUCUCGAUUUUGAUGGUGAAACAGUUGUGUGAUGCUGGAACUGUAGUUUGUUGGGAACUCUGCAGAGGUUGACAUGGAAAAAUAUGCAAGGAAUCUUCCUCGUCACCUUAUUGCAGUGAUUAUGGAUUGGGAAAUGGACAAAUCCACAUUCAAGUAUUUGCUAUGUGGAAUUCUUCUCUUGCAUUCCAUGAUUCAUCUUGCCUCUCGAGUGCCCAAAAUUGAACAGAUAUUGCUUGAUGAUGUGAAGAUAUCAGAGCAACUGAUUGACCUGGUCUUCUAUCUGCUAGUUCUACUUGGUCCAUACAGACAUGAAUCUCACACCAUACCCAAUGGCAUGGUUCUUCUUCAUUCGGCUCUGGUAGUUUGUAUUAUAAAAUUGUUUCUCCACACUACCAAGAGGUUGCUCAAGCAUUGAAUGCAUAUUACAAGGUAGCAAUCCAGGAUUUGGUGAAAACUAAGAACAUUAAAUUACUUGUUUAAUGGUGGACAUAUUCAUAGAGGCAGAAUUUGCUGCUGUUUGUGUAGAUGUCAAGUUUCUGCAGACCAACGAUUCAUCUGGAAGUGCUUUCCCUACUACUGAAGAGACCUUGAAUCACCUCUGCCAGAGUGUGAUUCUUCUCUUCAAUUUCUACAGUCCUUGUGUCAGCAAAAGUUGUUCCGGGAAUGCAUUGUGAAGAACAAGAUUUUAUCCUUUCAUCUGAUUAGAGUUUUCACUGCCUGAAAGCAUUGACAUUUCUUUAAAAUGUCAAAUGUGGUGAAUACAUGUUUCUGCUCCAGGAAACUUGAGCUGGAAUUUCUAUUUUGCAUACAUGUUUCUGCUCCGGGACUUCAUUUAUUUCUGUCCAAGUGAGAUAGUAAGAGAUUCCAUAAUCAGCUUGAUUUGCUUAUGUGGCUGCAGCUUUAUCUGAUGCAUGUUGAUGUAUGUCCUAGGAUUUGUUUGUUACAUUUGAGCUUGGGUGAAAAAGUUGAUGUUUGAUACGUGGGAAUGUAAUUCCUUGUCUCCCAAUAGUAUAGCACAUUUGGUCGAUGUGGUUUAAGUGGAUAAAGGGUUUUAUUGAGGGUCCCACUAUGUUGUGAAAAAAUGUGGUUUUUUGAUAAAUGUGUCAUUGGAAGUUUGAAAUAUAAACUAGAGUGUCUUCAUGAACCAAAAUGGAAAGUGCUAAAUUUUAGGGGACACCAGACAUAGUAAUUGUGCUAUAGUACUGGGGGUCGGAUAAAGUAAUUGUUACACUAGAGAAUGAUUAUACAAUGUUGGGCAGUCAAUUAUUUUUAAGCUAGAUUAGUACUGUGAAUUAGCAUAUUACAAGUUCUAUUAAUAGCAUUUAUAACUUUAUCCCGCUAGAGAACUAAAAUCUCACACUUCUGAAUUCUUUCUUCAUUCGUGUUUACUUUCUCUUUUUCUUUUCCCCUUUUGUUUCUUUAUUAUUUAUUUUCUCCCUUGUGUCAUGUUUAUUAAUUCAGGAGUAGUGUGGUAAUGUAGUCGUUCUUAUUCUGGUUUAGGCUGUCAUGAACUUAAAAUUAUUGGGCUUAGACAAUAUUUCCUCGUACAUGGCUGCUAUCUCUCACCUAAAAUCUAAAGCUUUAUCUAUUGCGAGUGCACUUUCCAAUUAAGAUUAGUGGAUUUAUGCCUUUGAAUAAUACAACUGCUGCUGGUAAAGUUAGCGCACCUUAAAAUUUUUAUGUGCUUGUGCUUGGUGUGGUUGUGUAAACCGGCCCUUAUUUCUUUGAAGUAAAUGUAUUUUUUUCUGCUGCAGCUGUUGCACCUUUGUGAAGCUGAAAGUGUAUCCUACCUGGAAGAGGUGGCCAGCAAAACAUCAACUCAGGAUGUGGCAAAGUCUGUUGGACUCAAGGUUCUUGCGUUGCUAAAAAAAUGUUUAAUGCUCCCUCUGAGGCAAGCUACCCGAAGGGGCAACUGGAACUUAAUGCAAUGCGCUUGGCAGAUGUCUUGUCAGAUGAUUCAAAUUUUCUGUCAUUCAUCAUGAUAAACUUUAUGAGAAGGAUCUGUCAACAAGUUCGUUUGGUUCAUAUGGAAGGACUAUCAGAAACUGUCAGAUGGAUUCUUCUCUCUACUUCAAAGCUGACAAAGUAUCCACAAUUAGCAAGAACUUAUGUAUGCCUGCUUCUAAUACACUAUUGCAUGUAGGUUCACUAUUAAGUCAUGAUUUUUGAAUGAAGAUGAUGUACAACUACUGAGGUAAUUUCAAUGUAUGCUUUCCUUCCAUGCUGAUAUCGGGCAUUAAUUAUUUGUUUGUCCUAUCUUUCUUAGUUUGCAAUUUAGGUAAUGAAACAUUCUCGCACAUGGUCAUUAUGCUGCGUCUUAUAGUUCCUCUUUUUUUUAUUUAAUAAACCUGCUUCACUCAACACAUUUAUUCAUUAUGUGCAUUCUGUAGAUAGGUAAUCUUGUUCGUGGGUUAUUUAUAAGUCAUUUUGUGUCCCGGAUCGUUCGUGCUGCAUCUGAAGAUCAUUUAGUCCAUGACUAGCUUCCUAUAUUGGACUCUCAGCCCAGAUGAAAAAAAGAGUCGCCCAAUGCUACAUUUUUUCUGGAAUAAGCUUCAUAAAAAAGGAGUUUUAAUGCAGAAAAGGAAGGUAGGAAGGUAGUUUUCCCAUACGUAUUCGAGGAUUCUGGUAACUCUACAUCAAAUCCUAGUCUUUGAGGAUUCUGGCUCCAGCAUCAGAAGCUCAGGACUAGAUAUCUUUUUAUUAUAAAUAACUUGUCCACUGCAAAUGUUGAGGCUAAAGCUAAAGAGUUUAUUGAAAAUUUGAAUUUUAUACUAUCCCUGGUUAGCGUUGUAUAUAGUUAUGGAGAGGGAGAGAUUUAGCUUGGCACUACAUUCCUUACCUUAAACAGUUCUCUGGAUGCAAUUUACCUUUGGAGUUACUCUUUCUGUUUGGCAUUUUGAAAUAUUUUGAAAUAAAAUUGAAACAUUUGAACAGAGAUAAUGUGCAAGCCGUUUAUGUAAACUGCCAGGUUUGAUUUUUCUACUUACUUUAUUCAUUUUGGAAAGCCGGUUUUUAUUCUUGGUAUUUGUACUAUGUCUAGGUUCUGUUUUAAACAGAACUUGUAAUAUCUAGUGUGGAAGAACUAUCACUGCUGAAAAUUUAGGAAGCUGGCUUGGGAAGAUUACUAUUGGGAAGUUCUAAGGGAACGAGUGGUAGAUUCAAAAGCUUUGAUUGUAGAGGUUUCUUUUCGUCUGUUUUGUUUUUGAGUUUACUUCAUAAACUUGGAGUUGGGUUGUCUGAAAUCCUCAUGUUGCAAUAAAUAUUAUUAUCUCAUCUUGUUGAUUCAAAUUUUUUUUCUGACACAUGGAAGUAUAUUAUUUGUUGAAUGCUUUUAAGGGACUCGGGAUGCCUGUUAAUUCUUUUACCUCAAAGGUACGAUCCAUGGUUUAUUUUUUAUGUAGUUGCGAGUCCAAGUUUAUUUCAACUCAAAUGUGUUUGUUUUAGAUUUUCAAAGCCUGUUCAAACAGCAUUGCAUACGGGCCUCCUCACCCUUGGGCAGUGGUAAUCUCAAAUUUAAGAUUGAAGUUCUGUUUAAGCAUUUAAGUGUUGACCUCAAGGAUGUCACACCCUCUUCUCUUCUAAAGGAUGUAGUUUGACAAUUUGAAGAUCAGUCAUUAAGCAUCAACUUGUUACUCACCUUACGCUGGGCAUUGCUUUACGAGCUAUUUCAGUUGCUCAUACUGAACCUGACGUUGGCCAUAGUUCCAAUACUAAUCACCGACCCGGUCUUAUUCAAUCUUCUGCUCCACAAAUUGAGAUUGCAGGCCCACCAUUUUCUCUGAUCGGACCCGGCAGCAUAUUGUCUGGAUUAGCAAUUCCCUCUUAGAUCCCACUACAACAGAGACCACCAAGUUCUCUAGAUGAGAGUGGACUCCUAAUUUCAUGAAGCCAACACAAUACACCUACCUUU
Salvia splendens (bonfire salvia) is the source of this 4637-nucleotide long non-coding RNA. RefSeq lists it as uncharacterized. The record is from RefSeq and is a predicted model, not a curated record. The transcript has 15 exons. Lineage: Eukaryota; Viridiplantae; Streptophyta; Magnoliopsida; Lamiales; Lamiaceae.